Molecule: transfer RNA, 72 nt
Filed under: Bos taurus (domestic cattle)
Lineage: Eukaryota; Metazoa; Chordata; Mammalia; Artiodactyla; Bovidae
Also listed under: 1 other name
Rfam family: tRNA
About the family: Transfer RNA (tRNA) molecules are approximately 80 nucleotides in length. Their secondary structure includes four short double-helical elements and three loops (D, anti-codon, and T loops).
Source: Rfam by way of RNAcentral
UCACUGGUGGUCGAGUGGUUACGACUUUGCUUUCCAACGCUGAGGGUGCAGGUUCGAUUCCUGGUCAGGGAG